CGGGAAGUAGCUCAGCUUGGCAGAGCACUUGGUUUGGGACCAAGGGGUCGCAGGUUCAAAUCCUGUCUUCCCGACCA
RNAcentral lists this transfer RNA (77 nucleotides) under Niallia circulans. RNAcentral describes it as "Bacillus circulans tRNA-Pro(tgg)". It matches the Rfam family "tRNA". Rfam says of the family: Transfer RNA (tRNA) molecules are approximately 80 nucleotides in length. The record is from RNAcentral. RNAcentral also lists the same sequence under 53 other names. Lineage: Bacteria; Bacillati; Bacillota; Bacilli; Caryophanales; Bacillaceae.